UGGGGAAUCUUGCGCAAUGGCCGAAAGGCUGACGCAGCGACGCCGCGUGGAGGAGGAAGCCCUUCGGGGUGUAAACUCCUGUCACCUGGGACGAACCUCGGGUUUCGACCCGACUGACGGUACCGGGUGAGGAAGCACCGGCUAACUCUGUGCCAGCAGCCGCGGUAAUACAGAGGGUGCGAGCGUUGUCCGGAAUCACUGGGCGUAAAGGGCGCGUAGGUGGCUCGCAACGCGUGCGGUGAAAGCCCGGGGCUCAACCCCGGGUCGGCCGUGCGAACGGGCGGGCUUGAGUCCGGUAGAGGCCGAUGGAAUUCCGGGUGUAGCGGUGGAAUGCGUAGAGAUCCGGAAGAACACCGGUGGCGAAGGCGGUCGGCUGGGCCGGAACUGACACUGAGGCGCGACAGCGUGGGGAGCAAACAGG
RNAcentral lists this ribosomal RNA (421 nucleotides) under uncultured bacterium. RNAcentral describes it as "bacterial SSU rRNA". It matches the Rfam family "Bacterial small subunit ribosomal RNA", at positions 355 to 776 of the family's 1533-position model. The record is from RNAcentral.